This 253-nucleotide ribosomal RNA is filed under the name uncultured bacterium. RNAcentral's name for it is "partial 16S ribosomal RNA". It matches the Rfam family "Bacterial small subunit ribosomal RNA", at positions 524 to 776 of the family's 1533-position model. The record is from RNAcentral.
UACAGAGGGGGCAAGCGUUAUUCGGAAUUAUUGGGCGUAAAGGGCGCGUAGGCGGCUUUGCAAGUGGCGGGUGAAAUCCCUCGGCUUAACCGAGGAACUGCCUGUCAAACUGCAUGGCUUGAGACCAGGAGAGGUGAGUGGAAUUCCCAGUGUAGCGGUGAAAUGCGCAGAUAUCAGGAGGAACACCGGUGGCGAAGGCGGUUCUCUGGGCAUUACCUGACGCUGAGGAGCGAAAGCAUGGGGAGCGAACAGG